UAUUCCCAAUUUGGAAUGUAGUCCUGACUAUCCCAAGGAUCUUGGAAUCUCAGGGUUAGAAGGGAUCUUAAAAAAAUGCAUACCAAGAAGUGAGUAGCAGGAUCUUUCUCACAAAUGACUAAACAUUCCACUUUACAUAUUAAAUAUACUGAAAUUACUAACCCCAUUAAUAACACAGUAUUUAUUAUUGGCACUAAACUCCUGCAGCUUGCAAAGCUAUUUCAUUACGAUAAGGGUUUUAUUGAAAACAUUUUACUAUUGUCUGUGUUGAAAGAAUGAUUUGUGGUUCCACUGAGGGAGAGUUGUAUAUUAAAUAUAAAGCUUAGAUGUUGUGAUUCUUAGAAAAAGAAGAAAAUAGUUUUCUAACUAGGUGUAUGCAAAUUAGGAUUAUAAUUUAUCCUCUUCUUGUACCUUCUACACAU
Molecule: long non-coding RNA, 422 nt
Filed under: Pan troglodytes (chimpanzee)
Lineage: Eukaryota; Metazoa; Chordata; Mammalia; Primates; Hominidae
Description: long non-coding RNA NONPTRT003172
Source: RNAcentral